This 2606-nucleotide long non-coding RNA is filed under the name Homo sapiens (human). RNAcentral's name for it is "HSALNT0273609". The record is from RNAcentral. Lineage: Eukaryota; Metazoa; Chordata; Mammalia; Primates; Hominidae.
CCCCCAACUCUCCUCCACCCCCGGGGUGCAGGCUGGCUGGGGCUCCGGGUCAACUCUCCCUUCUCCCUCUGUAGAAGCCAGACGCUUCCCCUCUCUCCCCUCACCUAAAGAAGCCAGUUUGGGGCCAGUCACAUACUGGAUUAUGGAUCUUCAGAAUCCCUGGUCUUUGGCAUUUGGAAAGGCCUGGAAUAUGCCUUUUUAGCAGAUGACUGUGAUGCAGGUGGUCUGAGAAUGUGCUCUACAUCUUGUAAAACAGGUGACAUGAAAUGGCCGUUCUAGUCUAUGCAAUGGCAGCAUGAACACAGAAAGCUGAAACGGGGGAUCAGUUCUGCAGCCAAGAGACAUUAAAGCUCAAAGCACAGGAAAAGAGAGUGGAGGGGCUGCUGCCCCAGGAAGGCUGGGCCCACCCCUCCUCACAGGCACCCUGAUGCCUGUUCAGCUUGGCUCUCUGGAUGACAGGCAGAAGCCCCAGUUGCUUCUCUUCUCCACGGUGAUUUCUGCAUACUUUAUCCAAACCCCCUCCCCACCGCUGUUCAGUUUCUGGCUCCUCUUCCUGCCCGUGCUCUGAGGCCAGCUGGGGGCCUCCCAGGUGACUCCUGCUGCUGCUGUCACUGGACCCUGACGCUGUGCCGCACCCGAAUUCCUCCGAAUGGAGCCUUGGCCAGAGCAAGGCGUGCCGUGUAGAGGAGCGGAUCUGAGCCUGGCAGGAGAUCGCUAAAACCUUUGCCCUUCACACAAACGCGGAAGCACGGGGCGGGUGCUGAAGAGCCAAGCAAGUGUCCCCCAUUUCCUUCCAAGGCAGAGCAGCAGCCCAGGGAGGCCCAGUUUCCAUCGCGGCAGAAGGGCAGAAGAGUGGGGGAGGUCCCAGGACCACAGCCCAGGGGACACUCAGGAUGCGCCAGGAAGGACAUGGCAGACAGGCCCUUUAGGUGGAAAAGCAACCCUCAGCUGCCCAGAGAGCGGCCCCUCCAGGCCCUCCCCGCCGUCUGCAAAGCUCUUCAGCUGGGAGAGGAGGAAAGGGUUUGUUCUUGACCUCCUUCCUUUCCUUUCUUCUCCACUGUCCACCAGAGAGCAGGAAGACAGGCUGAUGCUCUUGUUAAAGAUGAAGGCAUAAUUCACAUGCCAUAAAAUUCACCAUUUUAACCAUUUUAAGGUGCACAGUUCAGUGGUUUUGAGUGCAUUACAUUGUUGGGCAACCAUCAGCAUGGUCUAAUUCCAAAACAUUUCUGUCACUCCAAAAAGAAAUCUUGUACCCAUUAGCAGUCACUCCCCAUUUCCCCCUACCCCCCAGCCCCCCGGCACCCACGAAGGUGCUUUCUCUGUUUCGAGGGAUCUUCCUAUUGUGGCAAAUCCUCUGAAUGGAAUCAUACAAUAUGUGGUCUUCUGCCACUGGCUUCUUUCACUGACCAUAAUUUUUCAAGGUUCACCCACGUUGUAGCAUGCGUCAGCGCUUCAUUCCUUUCCAUGGCUGGACUGUAUUUCAUUGUAUGUCUGGACCACAUUCUGUUUCUCUAGUCAUCAGUUGAUUACUUACUUUUCAGGGCCCACUUAGCCUUUCUUCCCAAGGGCAGGGGCUCUGUUGUCCACUGUUUUGGAGUCUUCCAGCAGACUUGAUGGAGUGUACCAGUGGUUUCCUUGCUGGGCAAAUAACCAGAGGGUCCCUGGGUACGGGAAUCUCUGAGUCCUGAUCUUUGGCUCUGCUGCAGACCAGGUCACUGUAUGAUCUUUUAGCAGCCUCUUUACCUCACCUGGCCUCAGUUUCUUCAUCUGAAAAAUGAAGGGCUUGAAGCAGAUGGUCUCUAACACUUCUCCUGGCCCAACACUUUAAGAUGUUUCAGCAAAGCAGUGAAGAAGCAGCCUUCUGUGACCUUUCUGAACAAGGCAGAGGAAAGCAAGCUGUAGGCUGACAUAGUUAGGUGAUUCCAUAACAAAAUUGCGCUGUAAACAAUCAUCUGGAUCAAUCGACAGAAGGCACUUGCAACAGGUUCCCAGAUGACAGAAAACUAUAGGAAUGACAGGGAAGGAAUGAUGGGGCAGAUUAAAAUGGAGAAAUUUAACAGGGACAAAUGUAAAAGUCGGACAUUUUGCUCCAAAGUUCAACAGAACAGCUACCUGCUUUGUUGGAUAUGUUCAGGCAGUGUCCUUUAUAAGAGUUUGAUUGACUCUAAAUGAAUCUCAUUAUGAGUCACCAUUGGGACAGGCUGCCAAAAGGCCAAUGUGACUUCAGAUUAAAUCAAUAGAGGUCUACUGGCUGAAACAAGGGAGGUGACAUUAUUGAGUCCAUCCCUGGUGUAUGUAGCUGCUACCCUCUGAGAAGGAGGCCCCCAAUAGGAAAAGCCAGAGGGAGGAUGGAUAAGACAUGAAGAGCUCUAGAACCAUGGUUUGGUAGUAGGAGGGGCUCAGGGUUUGGGUCUUUAAAAGAUAAGACAGAGAGUGCUGUUCACAUCUGUGAAGGAACAUGGCAUGAGAAGGGGAGUUGACUUCCACCAUGGGGACCUGCAGGGUGACUGGGGCUGGAAGAUGAUCAAUUGUGACCCAGGACCAGGAAGAACUUCGCAGCAACAAAAGUCACAGGAAAUGGAAAAAACUCCUGGUGAAGAACACAG